This is a small nuclear RNA of Ochotona princeps (American pika), 107 nucleotides long. Lineage: Eukaryota; Metazoa; Chordata; Mammalia; Lagomorpha; Ochotonidae. The record is from Ensembl.
GUGCUCGCUUCAGCAGCACAUAUACUAAAAUUGGAACGAUACAGAGAAGAUUAGCAUGGCCCCUGCACAAGGAUAAUUUUUAAUUUUAAGUUUUGAACAAAGAAUAG